Molecule: long non-coding RNA, 566 nt
Organism: Cyprinus carpio (common carp)
Lineage: Eukaryota; Metazoa; Chordata; Actinopteri; Cypriniformes; Cyprinidae
Exons: 3
Source: RefSeq, a predicted model, not a curated record
AACACUUUUUAAGAAGGAUUUUUGAGAUUUGUGUUUCUGAACAGACAGCAGAUCUUUGUGAUUCUCGUGGUGAUUUUAUUUUUCAAACCAUCAUUCAUUAAGUAAAAGUAAAGUUUAGAUCACUGGAACUCAAACUGUUAAAACUGUUUUAGGUUAGUCUGGAGGACAAAACCUGUGUGUUUAGUGUGUAUUUACUCAACAAACACAUCAGUAACACAUUCAGACACAUCAGGAAAGUCGUUCCAUCAUAUAAGAGCAGAACAGAAACUGGCAUAAAAUCAGAGCAGCAGAUGUUUCUGUUUGUCAGACCACAAACCUGUUGAAAAGUGGACACAUUAUUUUAGCCAGACCUGAAGAGAAGAUCCUUGCUGAAGACCCUGAAGAAGUAACUAGCCUACAAGAUUGAGUCAAGACUGAUUUGAUCCUUAGCUUUGUUCUCAAGUCUUUCUGUUGCGUCAAGAUGGAAUGUGCUGGCUUUUUUUAGGAGGCAGCAUCCUUCCUGAAUCUGACAGUAGUAAAAUCAGUCCUAAUAAAGAGGGGAAAAGCCUCAACUGGAUGUCAAUUUA